UUCUGGUUGAUCCCGCCAGAGGCGACCGCUAUUGGAGUUCGAUUAAGCCAUGCGAGUCGAGAGUCUUAGGGACUCGGCAUACUGCUCAGUAACACGUGGAUAACCUGCCCUGUACUGGAGAAUAACCUCGGGAAACUGAGAAUAAUACUCCAUAGACCACAAUGCCUGGAACGGUUUGUGGUUCAAAGCUCCGGCGGUACAGGAUGGGUCUGCGGCGUAUCAGGUUGUAGGGGGUGUAAAGGACCUCCUAGCCAUUGACGCGUACGGGUUGUGGGAGCAAUAGCCCGGAGAUGGAUUCUGAGACACGAAUCCAGACCCUACGGGGUGCAGCAGGCGCGAAAACUUCACACUGCGGGAAACCGUGAUGAGGGAACUCCAAGUGUUAGCACAAUGUGCUAUCUUUUCUUGACUUUUAAUAGGUCUUGGAAUAAGGGGCGGGAAAGACCGGUGCCAGCCGCCGCGGUAAUACCGGCGCCUCAAGUGGUCGUCGCUUUUAUUGGGCCUAAAACGUCCGUAGCCUGUUUGGUAAACCCGUGGGUAAAUCAACGAGCUUAACUCAUUGACUUCUGCGGAGACUGCCAGACUAGGGACCGGGAGAGGUGUAGGGUACUCAUGGGGUAGGGGUAAAAUCCUGUCAUCCCAUGAGGACCACCUGUUGCGAAGGCGCUACACUGGAACGGAUCCGACGGUCAGGGACGAAGCCUAGGGGCACGAACCGGAUUAGAUACCCGGGUAGUCCUAGGUGUAAACGCUGUGGACUUGGUGUUGGGGAUCCGACAGGGGUUCCCAGUGCCGGAGCGAAGGUGUUAAGUCCACUGCCUGGGGAGUACGGUCGCAAGGCUGAAACUUAAAGGAAUUGGCGGGGGAGCACUGCAACGGGAGGAGCGUGCGGUUUAAUUGGAGU
This 904-nucleotide ribosomal RNA is filed under the name uncultured archaeon. RNAcentral describes it as "bacterial SSU rRNA". It matches the Rfam family "Archaeal small subunit ribosomal RNA", at positions 1 to 912 of the family's 1478-position model. The record is from RNAcentral.